UACGUAGGGUGCAAGCGUUGUCCGGAAUUAUUGGGCGUAAAGAGCUCGUAGGCGGUCUGUCGCGUCGGAUGUGAAAAUCCAGGGCUCAACCCUGGACCUGCAUUCGAUACGGGCAGACUAGAGUUCGGUAGGGGAGACUGGAAUUCCUGGUGUAGCGGUGAAAUGCGCAGAUAUCAGGAGGAACACCGGUGGCGAAGGCGGGUCUCUGGGCCGAAACUGACGCUGAGGUGCGAAAGCGUGGGGAGCAAACAGG
Molecule: ribosomal RNA, 253 nt
Filed under: uncultured bacterium
Lineage: Bacteria
Description: partial 16S ribosomal RNA
Rfam family: Bacterial small subunit ribosomal RNA
Source: RNAcentral